Molecule: ribosomal RNA, 119 nt
Filed under: Pteropus alecto (black flying fox)
Lineage: Eukaryota; Metazoa; Chordata; Mammalia; Chiroptera; Pteropodidae
Source: RNAcentral
GUCUAUGGCCAUGCUACCCUGAACAAGCCGGAUCCCGUCUGAUCUCAGAAGCUAAGCAGGGUCAGUCCUGGUUAGUAAUUGGAUGAGAGCCCACUUAAGAAGACCAGGUGCUAUAGGUG